CAUGCCGUAAACGAUGAUUACUAGGUGUGGGGGGUCUGACCCCUUCCGUGCCGGAGUUAACACAAUAAGUAAUCCACCUGGGAAGUACGACCGCAAGGUUGAAACUCAAAGGAAUUGACGGGGGCCCGCACAAGCAGUGGAGUAUGUGGUUUAAUUCGAAGCAACGCGAAGAACCUUACCAGGUCUUGACAUCCAGCGAAUCCUUCAGAGAUGAGGGAGUGCCCUUCGGGGAACGCUGAGACAGGUGG
This 248-nucleotide ribosomal RNA is filed under the name uncultured bacterium. RNAcentral's name for it is "partial 16S ribosomal RNA". It matches the Rfam family "Bacterial small subunit ribosomal RNA", at positions 796 to 1041 of the family's 1533-position model. The record is from RNAcentral.